UACAGAGGGUGCAAGCGUUAAUCGGAAUUACUGGGCGUAAAGCGUGCGUAGACGGUUGCGUAAGUCAGAUGUGAAAGCCCCGGGCUCAACCUGGGAAUUGCAUUUGAGACUGCGUAGCUAGGGUGCGGAAGAGGGAAGCGGAAUUUCCGGUGUGAGCGGUGAAAUGCGUAGAUAUCGGAAGGAACACCUGUGGCGAAAGCGGCUCACUGGACCAUUACUGACGCUGAGGCACGAAAGCUAGGGGAGCAA
Molecule: ribosomal RNA, 249 nt
Filed under: uncultured bacterium
Lineage: Bacteria
Description: partial 16S ribosomal RNA
Rfam family: Bacterial small subunit ribosomal RNA
Source: RNAcentral